GCGCCCGUAGCUCAGGUGGACAGAGCAAUUGCCUUCUAAGCAAUGGGCCCGGGGUUCGAGUCCCUGCGGGCGUGCCA
RNAcentral lists this transfer RNA (77 nucleotides) under Oscillospiraceae bacterium. RNAcentral's name for it is "tRNA-Arg". It matches the Rfam family "tRNA". From Rfam's summary of the family: Transfer RNA (tRNA) molecules are approximately 80 nucleotides in length. Their secondary structure includes four short double-helical elements and three loops (D, anti-codon, and T loops). Lineage: Bacteria; Bacillati; Bacillota; Clostridia; Eubacteriales; Oscillospiraceae. The record is from RNAcentral.